UACGUAGGGUGCAAGCGUUGUCCGGAAUUAUUGGGCGUAAAGAGCUCGUAGGCGGUUUGUCGCGUCUGCUGUGAAAACCCGCGGCUCAACUGUGGGCGUGCGGUCGAUACGGGCAUCACUGGAGUUCGGCAGGGGAGACUGGAAUUCCUGGUGUAGCGGUGAAAUGCGCAGAUAUCAGGAGGAACACCGGUGGCGAAGGCAGCUCGCUGGGACGGUACUGACGCUGAGGCGCGAAAGCGUGGGGAGCGAACAGG
RNAcentral lists this ribosomal RNA (254 nucleotides) under uncultured bacterium. RNAcentral describes it as "partial 16S ribosomal RNA". It matches the Rfam family "Bacterial small subunit ribosomal RNA", at positions 524 to 776 of the family's 1533-position model. The record is from RNAcentral.